GGUCACUGAGGUCACUGAUGGCUGUUGUUUGUCUUUGCUGGUGGAAGUAAACGACCUUUGAACAAAACGGUAGGUGCGUUUCGUUGCACACCCACCCUGUGGCGCCAUCUGUCCUGCUGUCGCGGCGGUUACCCGAACUAGCGGGCCACACUUACUGGUGAGAUUGCUGCGUCCUGAGGAGGCCGGUGAGCUCGAGAUCGACGACGACGUCGUGGCCGAGGUGGACGUGGACGUGGGGACCGUCGUCGGCAUCCCGGUCCAGAGGCCUACCGGGAGGAGCGGGGGGUCGCAGGGUCCGAGCGCUGGAGUGCCCAGCACAUGAGUGCACAGAGGUAAUAAUGGAGCGACAAAAAUUAAUAAUAAAGAAAUAAUAA
Frankliniella occidentalis (western flower thrips) is the source of this 374-nucleotide long non-coding RNA. RefSeq lists it as uncharacterized. NCBI's taxonomy places the organism in Eukaryota, Metazoa, Arthropoda, Insecta, Thysanoptera, Thripidae. The transcript is spliced from 2 exons. The record is from RefSeq and is a predicted model, not a curated record.